This 75-nucleotide transfer RNA is filed under the name Actinobacteria bacterium QS_5_72_10. RNAcentral describes it as "tRNA-Ile". It matches the Rfam family "tRNA". From Rfam's summary of the family: Transfer RNA (tRNA) molecules are approximately 80 nucleotides in length. Their secondary structure includes four short double-helical elements and three loops (D, anti-codon, and T loops). Lineage: Bacteria; Bacillati; Actinomycetota. The record is from RNAcentral. RNAcentral also lists the same sequence under 1 other name.
GGGCCAUUAGCUCAGUCCGGUUAGAGCGCACCCCUGAUAAGGGUGAGGUCCGAGGUUCAAGUCCUCGAUGGCCCA